AAAAUAAUUCCCGAAAGCCCUAGUCACUCUCCUCCACCAUUGUCACCAUCUCAAGCCACCAUUCUCGAUCGUUCAUACCAAUCUCAACUGCUUUAUUGGCAGCCCAUUUUCAUUAUUUAUCCUUCAUUUAAUUAAUAAAUGAGUCCUAUUUCUAUUACUAGUAGGUCAAUUAGUGACUAGGAGUUAGUGGUACGAUGGUUUGAGGCGGUAACGGUGGUGGUGGGAAGUAAUUAGAAUUUCUAGCAUUAUAUUUUUAUUUUAAUUGUUUUUUUUAUUUGAUAAUCAAAUAAUAAGAGCUGUUGAAAAAAAAAAUUAGUACGUCAAAUAUCAGGAUCAGGCUACGGUGUAACUGUGGUACCUGACAUCCAACUGCUGUAUGUAACUAUAAUACGAUACCGCAGUUACACCACAGGUUUCUCCCAAAUAUCAUCGCCUUUGAAAAAAGUUCAAAAAAAUAAAACGCUCUUUUGAACGGCCCCAAAGGAAAAAGAGAUUUUGCUGAAUGGGGUCUUAGCUGCAUCAGUACUUGCCCAUAUACGCUCAAGAAGGGGACAUUGGAUACCAUUUCCAGUUGAAAGGGGCCAACGUGAAGUCAUGGCGAUUUUCUGAGGGGAGUUGGUACACAGGCUAUACAACGAACCUUCUCCACAACAUUAAACAAGAAUUCUCGUUUCUUUAUUCUUAGCUCAUGUCAUGUGCAAAGGAAAUUAUUUGUGUAAGUAUUUGGAUAAUAAUAUAAACAAUUGUGCACAAGCAAAUAUUGUGAAAUGGCAUUAUUGGCUAUAAAAUUAAAAGCAGAAUUCGUGAGUCUGCUUGUCGGCUGUAGCCCAAAUCUUGCUUCUUAUCUUUUAAAGAUAUAUGAUAUGUCUACGUCUUACCUAUAAUAAAAAAUAAAAAAUUAAAGGUUACAAACAAAUAAAGAAAAUAAAUUAAUCUCUUGGAAAUGGGUCUUGUUAUGUUGUCCAUAACAAAUUAUUCGUUUAUAAUUUACUAUAUUUUUGUUACAUACAUGUAAUAAGUCAUCAUAACAUGAAUGGCAUAACUAAAAAAAAAAAAGACAUAAAUCAUACGUAUAAUGAAAUAGUUGUUACUAACAACAAAACAAUUGUUAUAAAUAACGAGAGAUGGAGUAGGUAUAAGGUGUAGUUGAUGCACCAUAAUCACGCCUCUAGGAAUUAUAAAUUAGAUCUGUUUGAUAUGCCGUAUCUAAUGGUCAUAAGUGCUUAUUUAAUUUUAUAAGUUCUUAUAAAAAAUAUUGUUCUUAUUUAGUUGUUUUUUUAGUUGAGCUUUUGAAGCUUAAUAGGCUACUUUGACUCUAAUAAUAAAAACUUAAAUUUUGGGAUUUUGGGUGUAAAUGUUGAAUUUUUUUUUUAAAUAUUAGAAAAUCUAGAAUAUUCUCUACUUAUUUGAUGAUCUUAUUUUACUUUUUUCAUAACAUAACUUUAAAAAACUUGUUUAUUU
Molecule: long non-coding RNA, 1461 nt
Filed under: Citrus x clementina
Lineage: Eukaryota; Viridiplantae; Streptophyta; Magnoliopsida; Sapindales; Rutaceae
Description: Citrus clementina (C. clementina) long non-coding RNA (CCLE_LNC000092)
Source: RNAcentral